This 496-nucleotide unclassified non-coding RNA is filed under the name Bombus terrestris (buff-tailed bumblebee). RNAcentral's name for it is "misc RNA ENSBTSG00005036834.1". The record is from RNAcentral. Lineage: Eukaryota; Metazoa; Arthropoda; Insecta; Hymenoptera; Apidae.
AAUACAAAAUCGAUUAAACGUUAUUUAAUACUUCUAAUAGCAUUCGGAAUCAUCGAAACACCUGCUUUUUCCUUGUUUUGUGUAGGUUAGCGCACUUAACUAUCCUCAUGUCAAUAGGUAGAUAGAUAUAUGUCGAUAGGUAGGACGAUAGAUGCAAUCCGUACUGUAAUGCCUUAACGUCGAACUCUACCGGUUCUCUACUCGAAACGAUUGGCAUUGACUGGUGACAAAUGCGUAAUCACCUCGCAUUAACAGUGUACAUUCUGAAUGGGACCACAGUCCGGUUGGGCGACAGCAUAAGUCGUGUUCACCUAUCUAGAGUGGGCAUGAAACAGAUACAAUCAAGGACGUGUUAAGCAUAGGCUACUUGUAACUUCGUGUAAUUCAUAUUACUCCUCAUUGAACGAAAGUAGCGUAUUUCGAACAUGUAGAGGAGAAGGUGGCAACAUGAAACCCUGUCGGUAAAUUGAAAUCUCACUUUAAUACAAUAUUUCAG